RNAcentral lists this ribosomal RNA (253 nucleotides) under uncultured bacterium. RNAcentral describes it as "partial 16S ribosomal RNA". It matches the Rfam family "Bacterial small subunit ribosomal RNA", at positions 524 to 776 of the family's 1533-position model. The record is from RNAcentral.
GACAGAGGCCUCGAGCGUUAGGCGGAAUCACUGGGCUUAAAGCGUGUGUAGGCGGAUCGUUAAGUGCCUUGUGAAAUCCCACGGCUUAACCGUGGAACUGCUUGGCAUACUGGCGGUCUUGAGCAACCUAGGGGCGAGCGGAACAAAUGGUGGAGCGGUGAAAUGCGUAGAUAUCAUUUGGAACGCCAAUGGUGAAAACAGCUCGCUGGGGGUUUGCUGACGCUGAGACACGAAAGCCAGGGGAGCAAACGGG